RNAcentral lists this long non-coding RNA (909 nucleotides) under Homo sapiens (human). RNAcentral describes it as "HSALNT0340390". The record is from RNAcentral. Lineage: Eukaryota; Metazoa; Chordata; Mammalia; Primates; Hominidae.
GUGAAAACCACCGAGAGGCACAGGCACAGCACACGGACACAACAUUGACUCUGGGGAGGUAGUUCUCGCCUCAAUUCGCUCAUGCAAAGGGCCUGGAACCCACCGGAGGGGCGUGGCGAACAUUCCCCCGGAAGCUCUGGGUUUCUUUCAGGGACAUCGAGCGAGGCAGGUGUUCCACCCCACUUUCUUGUUUGAGGGGAGAAGGAAACCAAAGCCAGUAGAAAUGGAAUUUAUGGCCUCCGUGCUCUCAGAGGGAGAAAAAAAUUCUCACUCAUCAGCCUAAAGAGAAACCCUGUCUUAUCCCAGAUUACCACCAUGGGAUUUAAAAUUCAGUGAGAAGACUGCUUGGGAAAUACUGUCUCCGAACUGCCGGUACAGACACUGCCCAUUGGUACAAUAUUUUUAGGUCAUCUGUCAAUUGCCAUGUUUGCAUUUCUUUCAUGCAAUACAAGUUGAAAUCAUAAUGAAUUUCUUGAGUUUCAGGAAUAUCUCAAAAUAAACUUCUUCAUCCUCAACAAAUGAUUAAAUUAUGUUCAGUUGGAUCUUAAUGUUGACUAUGGAUUUGGUCCAUGAAUUUUGGGUGAACAAUUUAAGUAUCUACAUACAGAAUGCUCUCUGAAAAAGAUAGACAAUUAUUUAUAUUUAAUGAAAAGAAAAUAUUUUUUAUUAAUUGCAAGGCAUUUCCCUAACAUCUAUGUUGAUCAAAAAUUCAUAUAGGAAAUUAUAGAAUUAUUCUCUGGAUACCAAAUAGCAUAGAUUGAGAAUUUCCUACAUUUAGGACACUAGUGUGUUGUUCAGAUAUAGUCCCAUGCAGUUUGCUGCAAAUUCAGGUAUUGCAUAAAGGAUAAACAAUUAUUCUGAAUACAAAACAAAGUCUCUACUUAAAAGUGGGCUUCUAAGCUUUUGUGU